Molecule: ribosomal RNA, 232 nt
Filed under: uncultured bacterium
Lineage: Bacteria
Description: partial 16S ribosomal RNA
Rfam family: Bacterial small subunit ribosomal RNA
Source: RNAcentral
CGGGUGAGUAACGCGUGAGGAACCUGCCUCAAAGAGGGGACAACAGUUGGAAACGACCGCUAAUACCGCAUAAGCCCACGGCUCGGCAUCGAGCAGAGGGAAAAGGAGCAAUCCGCUUUGAGAUAGCCUCGCGUCCGAUUAGCUAGUUGGUGAGGUAAUGGCCCACCAAGGCGACGAUCGGUAGCCGGACUGAGAGGUUGAACGGCCACAUUGGGACUGAGACACGGCCCAG